RNAcentral lists this microRNA precursor (140 nucleotides) under Nicotiana sylvestris (wood tobacco). Its description in RNAcentral is "MIR390 microRNA precursor family". It matches the Rfam family "MIR390 microRNA precursor family". Lineage: Eukaryota; Viridiplantae; Streptophyta; Magnoliopsida; Solanales; Solanaceae. The record is from Rfam by way of RNAcentral.
AUGGAGAAUCUGUAAAGCUCAGGAGGGAUAGCACCAUGGAGAGAUUAUCUUAACGAGCUUAAUUAACACUGAUUUUAGGCUUUCUGUUUUGGCUAUCGGUCUGUUGCGCUAUCCAUCCUGAGUUUUAUGGCUUUUUUCAU